GAUGAACGCUAGCGGCAGGCCUAAUACAUGCAAGUCGAACGGGGUUGAGUAGCAAUACUCAAUUCAGUGGCGCACGGGUGCGUAACGCGUAUGCAACCUACCUUAAACUGGGGGAUAGCCUUCCGAAAGGAAGAUUAAUACCGCAUAAUACCUUUUGAUGGCAUCUGAAGAAGGUUAAAGAUUUAUUGGUUUAAGAUGGGCAUGCGUGCCAUUAGCUAGUUGGUGAGGUAACGGCCCACCAAGGCUACGAUGGCUAGGGGUUCUGAGAGGAUGAUCCCCCACACUGGUACUGAGAUACGGACCAGACUCCUACGGGAGGCAGCAGUAGGGAAUAUUGGGCAAUGGCCGAGAGGCUGACCCAGCCAUGCCGCGUGCAGGAAGAAGGCCUUCUGGGUUGUAAACUGCUUUUAUCAGGGAAGAAAACGCUCCUGCGGGAGUAACUGACGGUACCUGAUGAAUAAGCACCGGCUAACUCCGUGCCAGCAGCCGCGGUAAUACGG
Molecule: ribosomal RNA, 500 nt
Filed under: uncultured bacterium
Lineage: Bacteria
Description: bacterial SSU rRNA
Rfam family: Bacterial small subunit ribosomal RNA
Source: RNAcentral